Molecule: ribosomal RNA, 253 nt
Filed under: uncultured bacterium
Lineage: Bacteria
Description: partial 16S ribosomal RNA
Rfam family: Bacterial small subunit ribosomal RNA
Source: RNAcentral
UACGUAGGGGGCAAGCGUUGUCCGGAUUUAUUGGGCGUAAAGAGCGUGUAGGCGGCUAUACAGGUCCGUUGUGAAAACUCGAGGCUCAACCUCGAGACGCCGAUGGAAACCGUAUGGCUAGAGUCCGGAAGAGGAGAGCGGAAUUCCUGGUGUAGCGGUGAAAUGCGCAGAUAUCAGGAAGAACACCCGUGGCGAAGGCGGCUCUCUGGGACGGUACUGACGCUGAGACGCGAAAGCGCGGGGAGCGAACAGG